CAGCAUUGACACUAAUUCCAUCACGGAAACCUACUAGUUUUUGGUCAUGAAAAAAAGCAUGAUUUGGAGGGUUUAUCACCUUGAUCUUAGAUUUAGAUUCACUAUGUUUUGCCUAAGUUUUAAAACAUUUUUUCCAAUACUAAGUUCACAGUAACUCUAAUAAGAUCUUCAGAUUUAGAAAAAGAAAACUAUGACAAACUAGAAGAUAUAUCUUGCAAGUAUACAAGAGAUCCACAUAUUUAAAUUACCUUAUCAAGGAAAAUAGAUGAAUUAUUGUUUUCUAAAAUUUGUAAUGAAAAUGUUUGCUAUUUGCUUAUCUAGAGCAGUACACUAGCACACUUUUGACAACACCAACAUUCACACCAUUGACGUGUUGGGACCACCAACAACAUAAGGUGGGCUCGAUCAUAAUGAACAGGUGCAAUCUUGGGUGUUCUGGAAAUGAGUGUCAGGUAUUUUUCUUCUAUUAUUGGUAUUCUAUGUGCAUUUGUUCUUUAUAAAUAUUAUAUGUUUGAUAUUCUCUAUUCCUAUAGUCCAUUCACUGUCAGCAUGUAUAUUUAAGAUUGAGAAAACCAAACAUCUGAUAUGAAGAACUCAAACUAAACCUUCUGGAAUGCAGCAUAUUAACUUCAUUCAACUAUUUUCUGAGGCAGCCCCUCAAGUAAGC
This 667-nucleotide long non-coding RNA is filed under the name Phoenix dactylifera (date palm). Its description in RNAcentral is "long non-coding RNA (PDAC_LNC008733)". Lineage: Eukaryota; Viridiplantae; Streptophyta; Magnoliopsida; Arecales; Arecaceae. The record is from RNAcentral.